CCACCACUUAAACGUGGAUGUACUUGCUUUGGAACCAGAGAAGUAAGUGCUUCCAUGUUUCAGUGAUGG
This is a microRNA precursor of Myotis lucifugus (little brown bat), 69 nucleotides long. Ensembl annotates it as microRNA 302a. Its record names the gene MIR302A. The record is from Ensembl. NCBI's taxonomy places the organism in Eukaryota, Metazoa, Chordata, Mammalia, Chiroptera, Vespertilionidae.